UCCCUCCCAUUGGGCAUCUUCUCCUUAGGGGAAGAACAUCCCUCUGAGGUCACUGGAGGCCUAGACCUAUCAGCAGCUCAUGGUCGUACAAAGAAAGCAGAAGAGGUGGUAGCUUCCUAAUGUGUCAAGAUAUACUUCGAACAAUAUGAUCCUCCAAGAGAAGGAAUCCAUGGAGUCUGGAGAGGCUCUUGGAGUAUGACAGAGGUG
Molecule: long non-coding RNA, 207 nt
Organism: Mirounga angustirostris (Northern elephant seal)
Lineage: Eukaryota; Metazoa; Chordata; Mammalia; Carnivora; Phocidae
Exons: 3
Source: RefSeq, a predicted model, not a curated record